RNAcentral lists this ribosomal RNA (431 nucleotides) under uncultured bacterium. RNAcentral's name for it is "bacterial SSU rRNA". It matches the Rfam family "Bacterial small subunit ribosomal RNA", at positions 335 to 758 of the family's 1533-position model. The record is from RNAcentral.
ACUCCUACGGGAGGCAGCAGUGGGGAAUAUUGCACAAUGGGCGCAAGCCUGAUGCAGCCAUGCCGCGUGUAUGAAGAAGGCCUUCGGGUUGUAAAGUACUUUCAGCAGUGAGGAAGGUGGGUAUGUUAAUAGCAUACUCAUUUGACGUUAGCUGCAGAAGAAGCACCGGCUAACUCCGUGCCAGCAGCCGCGGUAAUACGGAGGGGUGCGAGCGUUAAUCGGAAUUACUGGGCGUAAAGCGCAUGCAGGUGGUUUGUUAAGUCAGAUGUGAAAGCCCGGGGCUCAACCUCGGAAUUGCAUUUGAAACUGGCAAACCUAGAGUACUGUAGAGGGGGUAGAAUUUCAGGUGUAGCGGUGAAAUGCGUAGAGAUCUGAAGGAUACCGGUGGCGAAGGCGGCCCCCUGGACAGAUACUGACACUCAGAUGCGAAA